GUCUUCAGUGGAGCCACUUUGCAGCUUCUCUGUGCGCUCGCUGCGAUCGUGCCCGUUUCCAGGUGCCAUAAGCCAGACUCGCGCAGUCCUGGGAGACUGAGACUUGGGAGACAGUGCAGAAACCCAAGGCAAGUGCUGCUCGGCUGAGG
Non-coding RNA from Meleagris gallopavo (turkey), 149 nucleotides. The record is from RefSeq and is a predicted model, not a curated record. Lineage: Eukaryota; Metazoa; Chordata; Aves; Galliformes; Phasianidae.